Molecule: non-coding RNA, 70 nt
Organism: Podarcis lilfordi (Lilford's wall lizard)
Lineage: Eukaryota; Metazoa; Chordata; Lepidosauria; Squamata; Lacertidae
Source: the annotation of a GenBank genome assembly
ACCAUAGCUAAGUUGAUAAAGCAUGAGACUCUUAAUCUCAGGGUUGUGGUUUUGAGCCUCACGUUAGGUG